This 307-nucleotide unclassified non-coding RNA is filed under the name Hevea brasiliensis (rubber tree). The record is from RNAcentral. Lineage: Eukaryota; Viridiplantae; Streptophyta; Magnoliopsida; Malpighiales; Euphorbiaceae.
UUAUGUACUCCAUCGCAGCAGGCAUGUCUUCUUCCAAGUAGUUGUCAAAGUCCCAAUCAUACUUCUCAUACACAUCAAGUUGUUCCUGGAUCUCUUCUAAAGCAGAGGUAACACCUUGUAAAUUAAAAGGCUGGAAUGGACUCAGUUGUUGAGCUCCGUCAAUUAUAUUGAUAAGAUUUUUAUUCCAUUGCCUAAGUUGAGCAGCAAUGUUUGAAGUCUUCACUAAUGGCUGUUUUGACAGAGUUUCAGAUCGUAUCUGUUCAGUAUACUUCAUUUCUCCUCUGUCGGUGCUAAGUCCCAAUCCUCG